Molecule: non-coding RNA, 525 nt
Organism: Malus domestica (apple)
Lineage: Eukaryota; Viridiplantae; Streptophyta; Magnoliopsida; Rosales; Rosaceae
Source: RefSeq, a predicted model, not a curated record
AGGUGAUGAGGCUUUUCAACCCAUUUACAAAGGACCUCAAUGCCAUUGGGUGUUUGAGUGCAAUCUCAUUAUUCAUUUAGCCUAUAUAAGAGUUGUAUUUACACCGGCUCAUUGUUCAUAGCCGUUUGGUAAUUAUUCCACUGGUAAUUCUGAUGUGAAUCUCUCAUAUUCAUAACAUGUUAAUAGCACAUGGCAUGGCCGUGGACAUCUAUUGUAGUUUUUUUUUAUUUCAGUUUUACAGAGGUGCAGCCGCUGAGUCCUGACCACGACGCGGACGAAGUUGUAACGACAGUCUAAAAAGAUUUACGAAGAAGGAUUUGACUUUGAAAAAUCACUUCAAGCUCUGGAAAAUUUAUCUUCCAUUGAGAGGUUUUCAAAAUGUUGGAUGACAACAGUUGAAUCAUUUAUUCUCAAAUGGUAGUUUAUUGACUUACUUACUAAUUAGUAUGGUACAUUGACGACAUUAGUUAGUUAGAUUCAGUGAAUUUUAUAUCAACAACGGAGUGUGCAUGAUUCCUUUGUUCA